Molecule: ribosomal RNA, 274 nt
Filed under: uncultured bacterium
Lineage: Bacteria
Description: partial 16S ribosomal RNA
Rfam family: Bacterial small subunit ribosomal RNA
Source: RNAcentral
AUACGAAAGGUGCAAGCGUUGUUCGGAUUUACUGGGCGUAAAGAGAUCGUAGGUGGUUUAUUAAGUCGGAUGAGAAAUCCCGGGGCUCAACCCCGGAACUGCAUUCGAUACUGGUAGACUAGAGUUUGGGAGGGGUAAGCGGAAUUCCGUGUGUAGCAGUGAAAUGCGUAGAUAUACGGAGGAACACCUGAGGCGAAGGCGGCUUACUGGACCAAUACUGACACUGAGGAUCGAAAGCGUGGGUAGCAAACAGGAUUAGAAACCCCAGUAGUCC